RNAcentral lists this ribosomal RNA (253 nucleotides) under uncultured bacterium. RNAcentral describes it as "partial 16S ribosomal RNA". It matches the Rfam family "Bacterial small subunit ribosomal RNA", at positions 524 to 776 of the family's 1533-position model. The record is from RNAcentral.
UACAGAGGGUGCGAGCGUUAAUCGGAAUUACUGGGCGUAAAGGGCGCGUAGGCGGUUAAAUAAGUUAGAUGUGAAAUCUCCGAGCUUAACUUGGGAACUGCAUAUAAUACUGUUUAGCUAGAGUAGAAUAGAGGGGAGUGGAAUUUCCGGUGUAGCGGUGAAAUGCGUAGAUAUCGGAAAGAACACCAGUGGCGAAGGCGGCUUCCUGGAUUCAUACUGGCGCUGUGGCGCGAAAGCAUGGGGAGCAAACAGC